Long non-coding RNA from Pogonomyrmex barbatus (red harvester ant), 797 nucleotides. RefSeq lists it as uncharacterized. The record is from RefSeq and is a predicted model, not a curated record. Lineage: Eukaryota; Metazoa; Arthropoda; Insecta; Hymenoptera; Formicidae.
AUAAGCUAAGAGACGAGAGAGGGAGAGCCGACUAAUAUUCAUCAUUCGCUCUUCUCUCGCGAAAAUCAACAGUUACAUAUUCUGUUUGCCGACGUCUCGCUUCGCCGCUCGGCGCUAUCGGGCGCCCUUUGAUCCUCGCGAUGAAUAUCGUCCGUUUGCGUCGACAAUUACGAAUUGAGUAAUGAGAUGAAAUACGUGGUGCCGACGACUCGUUCACGAUCAACGUAGAAUCAAGCAGUUGAAUUCACUCGCAAUCAAGUUCGCGAUAUACAUAUUCGAUGAAAAUUAUCAUAUCUUAAUGUGUACAAGUCAUGUGCGUUUUGCACUUUCGUAAAGUAUUCUAAGAUAUUAGAUGAUAUAAUAUAUACCUCAUUCUUGACACGCGGAUAAUCUUUGCCCUUCACGCGACUCUCACAAUGAACAAAGAGAGAAUGGAUAAUGCUUGACCAUUUGCACAUACCAGCUGUACAUUACUCGCCUCAAAAGCACCUCUGUUACCACUGAAAGCGCCCUUCGAGGCUAUUUGCCAAAUGAUUUCCCGCUCGAGAUACUCGUCUGUUUGCUGCAUGCUGCAUACUCACCAUAACUGUAAUGCAGCAUUUGGGAAAGGUUGUGUAUCCGUCUCUUUCCAAGGAUACUUUGAUGACGAGAUGAUCAUCUCUAUCAUCAUUUUACAGCCCAUGCAUUGCAAAACAGUUGUGAUCGGACUAACAACUGUAUAACAAGAAGCGUAAAUGUAAGCAUACGAAAUACUGAAAUAUUAAAAUCAUAAUAAACAUGUUUUUUAAUUAUCUUAA